RNAcentral lists this long non-coding RNA (773 nucleotides) under Anser brachyrhynchus (Pink-footed goose). RNAcentral describes it as "lncRNA (ENSABRG00000017030.1)". Lineage: Eukaryota; Metazoa; Chordata; Aves; Anseriformes; Anatidae. The record is from RNAcentral.
AAAAAAACUUGUCUUGAUGCAUUCCAGGUAAAGUUGAAGGCAUAGGAAUGAGUUUAAAAUUUUCUGAGAAAUAACCUAUUUAAAGGGAAGAAAUAUUAUGAGAACACUGCUUAGAAUUAACAAAUUGAUUUGCAAAUCAACCUGUUUACUUUAACAAAGUUAUAUUUUUCCAGUGUCCUAAGUGGUGAGGGAUGACAUGGAUUGUAGUUCCCUGUCCUACAUGAAGACAUAGCACUUUUCUUAGAGUUAAGAACUUACAUCAGACAUACGGAUGUGGAAGUGACAUAGUGCUUUCCACUAACUGGACUUCACAGAAUUAACCAGAAGGUUGUCAGGAGACAUUUCAUACAGGUUUCCAGAUGGUCUCCCAUCCAAGAAACUCCUUUAUUACUCAAAGUAGGUAGGGCCCUAUUUUUACUGAAAUACUUUGGACUAGGUUCUUGUGUUUUCUGCAGUUGUAAGAAAUGAAGUGAAGCUUAAUUAAGGCCCACAUCAUAAAUACUUAAGCAGUUUAUAUUCGUCAUCCAAUCGUUCUUUAACAACAUACAAUUAAAACAACCUAACAACGAUUCUAGUAUGGAGAAAAUACUGAGACUAAACAAAGCUAGUCUAUUUUAUUUUAUAGAGGAUCCAUUUUGACAGUUUAUAGUUUGAAGCAAUUGUGUAAUUUUCAUUGGGUUAAGAUUUAUACAAUGUUGAAGAGAGGCUGCCAAUUAAAAUCAUUUCUGACUGAAAACAGUUUACCUGCGAUUUCUGCAAAGAGCAAGUGAAAC